RNAcentral lists this ribosomal RNA (460 nucleotides) under uncultured bacterium. RNAcentral describes it as "partial 16S ribosomal RNA". It matches the Rfam family "Bacterial small subunit ribosomal RNA", at positions 338 to 795 of the family's 1533-position model. The record is from RNAcentral.
CCUACGGGAGGCUGCAGUGAGGAAUAUUGGUCAAUGGGCGCGAGCCUGAACCAGCCAAGUCGCGUGAGGGAGGACGGCCCUACGGGUUGUAAACCUCUUUUGCCGGGGAGCAACGGGCGUCACGUGUGGCGCCACUGAGAGUACCCGGAGAAAAAGCAUCGGCUAACUCCGUGCCAGCAGCCGCGGUAAUACGGAGGAUGCGAGCGUUAUCCGGUUUUCUGGGGUUAAAAGGGUGCGUAGGCGGAUCGUUAAGUCAGUGGUCAAAUUGAGGGGCUCAACCCCUUCCCGCCAUUGAAACUGGCGUUCUUGAGUGGAAGAGAAGUAUGCGGAAUGCGUGGUGUAGCGGUGAAAUGCAUAGAUAUCACGCAGAACCCCGAUUGCGAAGGCAGCAUGCCGGCUUCCGACUGACGCUGAAGCACGAAAGCGUGGGGAUCGAACAGGAUUAGAUACCCUUGUAGUC